Molecule: unclassified non-coding RNA, 352 nt
Filed under: soil metagenome
Description: partial contains 5.8S ribosomal RNA, internal transcribed spacer 2, and large subunit ribosomal RNA
Rfam family: 5.8S ribosomal RNA (bases 1-120)
Source: RNAcentral
GAUGAAGAACGCAGCGAAAUGCGAUACGUAAUGUGAAUUGCAGAAUUCAGUGAAUCAUCGAGUCUUUGAACGCACAUUGCGCCCGCCAGUAUUCUGGCGGGCAUGCCUGUUCGAGCGUCAUUACAACCCUCAGGCCCCCGGGCCUGGCGUUGGGGAUCGGCGGAGCCCCCCGUGGGCACACGCCGUCCCCCAAAUGCAGUGGCGGUCCCGCCGCAGCUUCCAUCGCGUAGUAGCUAACACCUCGCGACUGGAGAGCGGCGCGGCCACGCCGUAAAACACCCAACUCUUCUGAAGUUGACCUCGAAUCAGGUAGGAAUACCCGCUGAACUUAAGCAUAUCAAUAAGCGGAGGA